AUGGUUAACGUCCCUAAAACCCGCCGGACUUUCUGUAAGAAGUGUGGCAAGCACCAACCCCAUAAAGUGACACAGUACAAGAAGGGCAAGGAUUCUCUGUAUGCCCAGGGAAAGCGGCGUUAUGACAGGAAGCAGAGUGGCUAUGGUGGGCAAACUAAGCCAAUUUUCUGGAAAAAGGCUAAAACUACAAAGAUUGUGCUAAGGCUUGAGUGCAUUGAGCCCAACUGCAGAUCUAAGAGAAUGCUGGCUAUUAAAAGAUGCAAGCAUUUUGAACUGGGAGGAGAUAAGAAGAGAAAGGGCCAAGUGAUUCAGUUC
This 315-nucleotide long non-coding RNA is filed under the name Homo sapiens (human). Its description in RNAcentral is "non-protein coding lnc-NUTM1-10:1". The record is from RNAcentral. Lineage: Eukaryota; Metazoa; Chordata; Mammalia; Primates; Hominidae.